GGGGCAGGGCGGCAGCCUACCAUGCAAGUCGAACGGUAGCACAGAGAGCUUGCUCUCGGGUGACGAGUGGCGGACGGGUGAGUAAUGUCUGGGAAACUGCCUGAUGGAGGGGGAUAACUACUGGAAACGGUAGCUAAUACCGCAUAACGUCGCAAGACCAAAGAGGGGGACCUUCGGGCCUCUUGCCAUCAGAUGUGCCCAGAUGGGAUUAGCUAGUAGGUGGGGUAACGGCUCACCUAGGCGACGAUCCCUAGCUGGUCUGAGAGGAUGACCAGCCACACUGGAACUGAGACACGGUCCAGACUCCUACGGGAGGCAGCAGUGGGGAAUAUUGCACAAUGGGCGCAAGCCUGAUGCAGCCAUGCCGCGUGUAUGAAGAAGGCCUUCGGGUUGUAAAGU
RNAcentral lists this ribosomal RNA (399 nucleotides) under Klebsiella oxytoca. RNAcentral describes it as "bacterial SSU rRNA". It matches the Rfam family "Bacterial small subunit ribosomal RNA", at positions 38 to 431 of the family's 1533-position model. The record is from RNAcentral. Lineage: Bacteria; Pseudomonadati; Pseudomonadota; Gammaproteobacteria; Enterobacterales; Enterobacteriaceae.